This 161-nucleotide non-coding RNA is filed under the name Sorghum bicolor (sorghum). Its description in RNAcentral is "rRNA SSU_rRNA_eukarya". It matches the Rfam family "Eukaryotic small subunit ribosomal RNA", at positions 1667 to 1823 of the family's 1831-position model. The record is from Rfam by way of RNAcentral. Lineage: Eukaryota; Viridiplantae; Streptophyta; Magnoliopsida; Poales; Poaceae.
CACCGCCCGUCGCUCCUACCGAUUGAAUGGUCCGUUGAAUUGUUCGGAUCGCGGCGACGAAGGCGGUUCGCCGCCCCCGACGUCGUGAGAAGUCCAUUGAACCUUAUCAUUUAGAGGAAGGAGAAGUCGUAUCAAGGUUUCCGUAGGUGAACCUACGGAAG